RNAcentral lists this ribosomal RNA (567 nucleotides) under uncultured bacterium. RNAcentral's name for it is "bacterial SSU rRNA". It matches the Rfam family "Bacterial small subunit ribosomal RNA", at positions 337 to 919 of the family's 1533-position model. The record is from RNAcentral.
UCCUACGGGAGGCAGCAGUGGGGAAUUUUCCGCAAUGGGUGAAAGCCUGACGGAGCAACGCCGCGUGAGGGAUGAAGGCCUCUGGGCUGUAAACCUCUUUUAUCAAGGAAGAAGAUCUGACGGUACUUGAUGAAUAAGCCACGGCUAAUUCCGUGCCAGCAGCCGCGGUAAUACGGGAGUGGCAAGCGUUAUCCGGAAUUAUUGGGCGUAAAGCGUCCGCAGGCGGCCCUUCAAGUCUGCUGUUAAAAAGUGGAGCUUAACUCCAUCAUGGCAGUGGAAACUGUUGGGCUUGAGUGUGGUAGGGGCAGAGGGAAUUCCCGGUGUAGCGGUGAAAUGCGUAGAUAUCGGGAAGAACACCAGUGGCGAAGGCGCUCUGCUGGGCCAUCACUGACGCUCAUGGACGAAAGCCAGGGGAGCGAAAGGGAUUAGAUACCCCUGUAGUCCUGGCCGUAAACGAUGAACACUAGGUGUCGGGGGAAUCGACCCCCUCGGUGUCGUAGCCAACGCGUUAAGUGUUCCGCCUGGGGAGUACGCACGCAAGUGUGAAACUCAAGGAAUUGACGGGGA